RNAcentral lists this ribosomal RNA (253 nucleotides) under uncultured bacterium. RNAcentral's name for it is "partial 16S ribosomal RNA". It matches the Rfam family "Bacterial small subunit ribosomal RNA", at positions 524 to 776 of the family's 1533-position model. The record is from RNAcentral.
CACGUAGGGGGCAAGCGUUGUCCGGAUUCACUGGGUUUAAAGGGUGCGUAGGUGGGUUGGUAAGUCAGUGGUGAAAUCUCCGAGCUUAACUUGGAAACUGCCAUUGAUACUAUCAGUCUUGAAUAUUGUGGAGGUCAGCGGAAUAUGUCAUGUAGCGGUGAAAUGCUUAGAUAUGACAUAGAACACCAAUUGCGAAGGCAGCUGGCUACACAUAUAUUGACACUGAGGCACGAAAGCGUGGGGAUCAAACAGG